Non-coding RNA from Phyllopteryx taeniolatus (common seadragon), 2370 nucleotides. NCBI's taxonomy places the organism in Eukaryota, Metazoa, Chordata, Actinopteri, Syngnathiformes, Syngnathidae. The record is from the annotation of a RefSeq genome assembly.
GCACGCUCAGUUUGUAUGCGUUGCUGUUGUGUGUUAAAGUAUUAGUUCUUUCAAGGUUUAUAAUGCUAAUUUCCGUACAUCGAUUUACGAGUAAUCCGACUCGUGAGUUUUACGAGUUACAAGCUGUGGCUCGGCAGGUUUUUGUUGUUGUUGUUGUUGUUGUUGUCUUGAUUUGCGAGCAAAGAUUUGAGUUACAAACACAAAAUGCGAACUUGACAACAAGUAGCAGAUGUGAACAAUUCUUCCAAAAAGAGACCAAGCUUGCUUCAAGCUGUUUAUUACCAUUCCCAGUUAUAAAGUUUAAACCCACAUAAAACAAAGAGACUUGUUUAUGGAAGUCCGCUAGCUUCAUGCUAAAAUACAAUUCAAAAUGCUAUAGACAGGCUAACGAAACUAGCAUCGAUGUUGCAGUAACACUUUCAGCAACAGAACACAAACGGUGCUGCGAAACAUCACUAAUAUUAUUGCAGCUUACUAAAUGACUUGGUUGUGAGACUGUUCUCCUUCUAUGAUGUUUGUCUGUUAUAGAAUUGUCCCACGAAGAAACCCAUCCCCCAGUUUGUAUCACAUACCUUUUGUUCUAUUUUCCUUUUAAUAUCCACAUGGUCUUUUUCACAAAAACAAUGAUUUCUACAAUGAAUAAGCAAGCAAGAAAUCUAAUAUCUAAUAUUCUACCUUGGUAUUCUGCUAUGUCUAUGCAUUUGUGAAAUUACUCAUAGCAUGGUGAGAUGAUGCAGGGUUUCAUUUGGAGUUCAAAGUUUUCAAAGAAUUAGACAUAGGGGGCACAAUCAGAGUUUCUUUGUGUUGUUGUGAAUUUAAAGGUGGUGGUGGGGGGUCUACCGAGCUCCUGGAGAGAAUACUAAAUAGAUCCACUUUGAUUAGCAUAAGGGGCAAGUGCUUUUGCCAUUUCCUCUCAUGUCCUGAAGCACUUUGAAGGAUCUGCUCAGCGGUGAGUCUGUCUUUGUUGGUGUGGGGAAUCACCGAAUAUUUGCAGCAUGUAAAAUUGAAGUGAAUAUUGCUAUUGUCGAGACACUUUCACAAGGUAAUGCGUCUUGAUUGUGCAGUAGUCUGCUCUGACAAGAUAAAAGCCAAGCUGGCUGCAUAUAAACAGUGGAAUGCUGGAUGUAUGCCAUGUUUGUAUUGAAAAUCUAAUUUCAUGCUCAAUAUUACAACAAUAUUCAUGGGUAUAUACAGUGGUGUGAAUAAGUGUUUGCUCCCUUCCCGAGUUCUUAUUUUUUUGCAUGUUUGUCACGCUUGUUGUUUCCCAUCAUCAAACACAUUUAAAUAUUCGUCAAAGUCAACACAAGUAAACCCAAAAUGCAGUUUUAAAUUAAGGUUUUUAUUAUUAAGGGAGAAAAAAUAAGACUGCCACACCUGUUCUCAAUCAAAAAAUCACUUGAAAAGGAACUGCCUGACAAAGUGAAGUAGACCAAAAGAUCCUGGAACAGAUGGGAAGAACUGCAUUUAGAUAGUCCAUCUCCCUGUCUAACAGAGAAGUAGUGCUUUGCCCGCAUCUUGUGGCAUCUAUAGACAAUUAAAACUUUUUUUUUGGAGGGGGGGGUCCAAAAAAGAGGAAGUGGUGACCUUUCACAAAGACAGGUGCACUCGCUUAUUUGCAUGAGUUUCUGCGCUUCGCUGCUCCGCCAAUUCUUCAUAAGUCUGCACAACUCUUGUCACACAAACUCCACUUGCAACCCGAGUCAGGAUGUGGUCACCCGCACUGUUGCUCGUCCUGCUGAUCAAAGGAUCUUCUGCCGCUGAUUUUCUGAGGCAGACGGACAGAAUGAAGUCCGUCUCUCUUGGAGGGACGUUGACCAUUGGCGCCACAGGAAGUUCAGACAUUGAUAGCGAUCUCAGUUGGUACCAAUUGAAACCUGGGCAGGCUCCCAAACUGCUCAUCUACUCUGUAUCCAGUCGCGAGUCUGGCACGCCAUCUCGAUUCAGCGGCACACAAUCUGGCUCUGACUACACUCUGACCAUCAGUGGUGUCCAGGCAGAAGACGUGGCUGAUUACUACUGUCUCGGCUAUCACGGCAGUGGAAGGUACACACGGUGAUUCAGAGCCGUACAAAAACCUCUUUCAACUUUGAGCGAAGUGAAAGCGACCUGCAGAAUGUGGCAAGGGGAAAGCAGAAGACACUGAAUGAUGAGCAAUGACUGGUCGUCAAGCUAAUGAAUCACUCAAGCUGACUGAAAACAUUAUAUUUAUAUUAUUCUUUCUAGUUUCAAUAUUUGUAUUUUUUUAUAUGAAUGAGUGGUUAUUAUUUAUUUUUCUCAGGGACAAAAUAUAUUUAUUUAUUUUGUAAUUUUACUUAAAUUAUGUAUUAAUUUUAUUUAACCUACAUAAUAAACUACAUUUAUGUGUCACAA